Cuculus canorus (common cuckoo) is the source of this 4666-nucleotide long non-coding RNA. RefSeq lists it as uncharacterized. Lineage: Eukaryota; Metazoa; Chordata; Aves; Cuculiformes; Cuculidae. The record is from RefSeq and is a predicted model, not a curated record. The transcript has 3 exons.
UGGAUGGAGCCCAUUUGCCUUGCAGUGGGGACAAGCCCUGGGCGCUACACUGGCCGUGGCUGUCGGUCUUUCCUCCUCGUAUUUUGAUCACACAGCUCAGCUGUCAUCGUAGUGGGCUAGCGCACAUGCUGUAAAAGUAACUUCGGAACAGUGAUUUAAUUUGGCUGCUUUUUCCUGUUUCACAAAGUCUUUUAAAGAUCAGUUUUGAAGCAAGCUGCAGGGACCCAUUUGUAGUCCUUCCAUGACAAAUGCAAACUAACACUCUUGUUUUUUCUGUUUGUAUAUGAUGUGACUUCCAUGUAUAUAUAAAAACAACUGCGUCCUAACCAAACUUCCUCCAAUUGUGCACUGUUUGUUUAAAGAAUCCAUGUAUUGUAGUCUGAUGCAGGUUUUAUUUUCUUUUAUUUAAAACACUACAUAUUUUCGCCUAUUCUUCACAAAUUUGAAAGGGUAGUGAUCUGAAAACCGAAAUCACUGGAUAGCUAGGAAGUUUUGGUUUUUUUUGUUUUGGUUUUAUUUUUAAAAGAGAGCAAAGGUGCCUGAGCGGUUUUGCUCUUCUCAGCAGGAAAGAGAAAUGUUAGCCGUUGUAUGGCUAAGAACCCAUGCACUUGGGGCCUGAUCCAGAACCCACUGGAGUUGAUGCGGGGCUUUCCAUUGUCUUCAGUGUGCAUUGGCUCAAGCCCUCCAUGGUUUAGCAGUUCCUGUAUUGCUGAAGUGUGAACUUGGAAUCUUCUGUAGUGAAGAUGAAUCGUUGCUUAGAAGAUAAAUGUUUAAAAUGUGCGACGCUAGUUAAAAAAAAUUGAUUCUUCUCAACACUCAUUAUUUAGUUCUCAUUUUCCAUCUAGUAUUUAAUGGUCUUUGGAGAAAAAAAUAAUAAUAAAACAGAGUGUUAUAUAUAUAUAAAAAUAUAUAUAUUUUUGGUGCAAGAUGAGACCACCUGUUUUUUGAAACAAGUCUGUAGCAUAAAGGUUAAACUAUUUUAAGACAAAAUAAAAUAGAGUGUAUUAUUUAAACAAUAUAAACUUGUUUGGGACUUUUUUUCCCUGCUUUCAUUGAGUGCGCUGCUGUUUGUCACAUCUGCAAAUUGAGGCCGUAGGAAAAUUCAGAUUUUUGUGCCCAAAUUCAGCACUGCUCCCUGCAUUUAAUUUUGAUCAUACAGAAUAUAAAUGUGAUUUCCUGACCACAAAAGCUUGCUUUUAUCUCCCAGAUGGAGGCAGGACCACGGCUUCUCUCGUAGCACUGCUGGGGGAUGCCAGGGGAUGCUUCGGUAGCAGGGAUGAGUGGCUGCUGCCCAUUGCGCUGCAGAAUCCCUUCUAGGGAUGUGGUUUCUGCACAUCCUCCAUCUCCCCACACAUCCCAGUCCUUCACAUGCCUGAGAAACCUUUAUACCAGUAUUUCUCUGACCGCUUUCCCUUAUCCCAUCCUCAGAGCUGGUCAGUAAGACUGUUUGACUAAGAGACCAACAUUACACUUGGAUUUUCUCACGCAGCUGCGGACGAGCUGGGAUCUACUGCCAUUUGAAAUGGAUGGGUUGAGCAGCUCCGAAGCCCUGGGCAGGUCCUCGCGGGCACGAGAGGUGGUGCCAGGCUGCCACUAAGUGACAAAUGCCUGGGAGAAACAGCCUCAAGCGAAGAGAGGGGACAGGUCUUCGUCUGUGAAUGGCAGCUGCUGUGCCUUUCUCUCCAGAGCAUCACAGGGAUGCAGUUUCCCUUCUGUCUGCAAAGGAAUGGAGCAGCACGCCUGCAAAAUGCCAGCUUGCAGCAGCCAAACCCUGCUUUUACUUUCAUCUUUGGUGCAAAUAAGCUCUAAUGGGAUCCGUCGUCUGCACGAAGAGCCACAGUGAGGCUUUCUGCGAUGAUGGGAUGGAAACCACCUUGUCUGGGCUGUCCUCCUCGUGGUCAGCAGUGCAUCCCCAAAAGGAAGAUACCCCCUCUUCAUCUCCAGCAAGGGAGAAGGGCACCUUAAGAAAACUAAUCUUCACUUAAAGCAGUGAUAUGGGUUAAUGAACCGAUUUGGGCAAAACAAAACUCUUCUGGGCAUUCGCAAUUGAAUCUUGAAGGCGAGGGACUGCACUUGCUGAGCUUCCCAUCUUAUCGCAUGGGAACAAGGAAUGACAGAGACAUCUUUGCAAUGUGGGGCACCGAUGAGGAGGGGACGCGUGGGAGUGGGAUGUCACUGACGGCAGUGGGUGGUGACUCCUUAACUGCUCCUCCAUCUUUGCCUCUUCCAUCUGGUGGAGAUCCCCGAGCCCUGGGCAGAAGGGUCAUCUCCAGCAGAAUGGAGACAGACAGCCAAAACCUCGUCUUGUAAGCAUGCCCCUGGUGGGGAUGGUCUUUUUUUCUCAGAGAAGGUGGGAGAUGCAUCCCAAGGAGGAAAAAAUGCAGAUUUGGGUAUUUUGUCAAACCGUUUAUUUCAGGUAGUUAUUUAUUAUCAUUUAUUUCUGAUAGUUCCUUACGCAUGCUGAGUCUUUUCUUGGAUUGUUAGUAGCAUGUUUCCCAUCCCAUGCCGAACAUUAGGCUGGAUAAGCAGUGAUGGGAGCUCACCCUUGGUCUGUGGAAGCACCAGAGCUCUUCAGAGGCUUUUUUUCAGCUCCAGACAGGUAAGAGAUGGAAAGAUUCCAGACAAAAUCCUGGCAGACCAUCAGAAAUGGAAGCACUGGCUUGUAGAAACACUCUCAUUUCUGCCCUUUGUGUGACCAGCCUCCCAAAUUAAAAAAAGUCCCUGAAACAAUAAAAAUCCCAUCACUGGGUGUCACUAUGUAUCCACAAAUCAAGUCUGGCCCAGUAAUGCAUGAUGUGGGACCCAGGAUUGUGUAGGAGAAGUAGCGUAUAUAACGUACGCCCUUCUCUAGGUUCUCAAGGGUGGGUGGAGGUCUGCUCCAACAGCCCCAGGAUGUACUAAAUGACACCUAGGACAAUUGUGGGGGUUUUUGGUGUCUGUUGCCUCCACAGGAGGUGUGAGGCUGCUCAAAUGAUCAUGCAUUACUUAGGCUGGAGCGAGUAAGCAGAUGCCUUCCCUUGAAUAAUUGAAGAUUGUGUAUUUACCUGUGCUGGAGCACUUAUUUGCCAUGAGUGUGUUGUAGACAUAUUCUUGAUGAUGAGCAUGACCCAAACCCAAAACAGCUCUUCGACUCCUUUUGUGCAACCAAGCCCAUGCCACCACCUCAGGCCCUGAGAUAUCAUAGAAUCACAGAAUCACAGAAUGGUUUGUGUUGGAAGGGACUUUAAAGACCCUCUGCCGUGGGCAGGGACACCUCCCACUGGAUCAGGUUGCUCAAAGCCUCAUCCAACCUGGCCUGGAACACCUCCAGGGAUGGGGCAGCCACAACUUCCCUGGGCAACCUGGGCCAGUGUCUCACCACUCCCAUAGCGAAGAGUUUCUCCCUAUUGUCUGAUCUAAAUCUCCUCCUUCUGAUUUAAAGCCAUCUCUCCUCAUCCCGUCACUCCAUGCCCUUGUAAAAACUCCCUCCCCAGCUUUCCUGGAGCCCCUUUCAGUACUAGAAGUUGGUCUAGUGUCUCCUUGGAGCCUUCACUUCUCCUGGCUGAACCACCCCGACUCUCUCAGCUUGUCCUCAGAGCUCCAGCCCUCGGAUCAUCUUUGUAGCCUCCUCUGGACCCGUUCCAGCAGUUUCAUGUCCUUCUUAUGUUGGGAAUUCCAGAAGUGGACACAGGACUCCUAGUAUGAUGCCUAUGAUGUGAUUAAGGGACCAGAGUCCAGCGUGUUGCCCCACAGCUGCUGUUGGCAGUUGUAGAACAAUUCUCAGUAUCAUUCCUGGUUCAUUUGGGGUUUAUUCUUUCCAUCUUGUUUUCACUAGUCUGGGUGGGUUCUCCCAGGGGUUUCCCCUAGUUUUGAAAACCACUGUCCCCCCUGAGGUCACCUUCAGGGUAACCCAGGGCAGACUCAAGCCUCUAGGAGACAAUGUUGGAAAGCUGGAGGCUUAAGGCACCCAGAGCAAGAAAGAAAAUUUAGCGAGUAAAUGCAAGGGAUAACUUCAAAAGGCAGCUCACAGUGUGCCUUGGACAAGACUCGAUGAGUUGAAAAUGCUGUUUAGUUUAUCUCGUCUGUUGCAAACAGAGGAUGAACCUGUGGUGCACAACUGACCAUCCUCCACACCUCAUGAGAAUGCUUGAGGACUUCUUCUGUGGCUGGGAUGCUGCUAGAACAUCGCUUCAGGCCAUCACAAACCUCAUCCCAGGCCUGGAACAGCUCUUUGCAGCCAACCUUCUGCGGGACAACUCUACACAGGGAGCCCCAAACCCUAACCCUCUCCAUGGAGAGUUGUCCCCUUCCACCUCAUCCUACUUGAAGCCGCAGAACCAAUGCUUCCUUGCACAACGUCUCCUCCCCAAGCUGCUUCUGAAGAGGAAGAAUUAGGACGAUAUUUAAGGCGGUCUCACCCGGGCAUGGCACAAGGCAGAGAGCACACCUUCCAGGAGGGGCUGAGCUCCUUGCCCGCCAAAAGGAUGUCAUUGAGAUGGAUCACACCCCAGUAAGCAGCAGCACCACAUGCAACAGCCAAGUUUUCGGAGGAGCAAUACUGAGAUCCCCCAGCCUUCGAUGGCAGUACGCUGAAAUAUCUCAUUUUCAUUUUAAGCAAAUGCAUACUGAUUUUCUCCACCCUGCCUCUCAUUUUUUUUGAGAAAACACAGAAAACCCAAAGAGAGUA